AUCUAUAGUUUUCUCAAUACACUUUUUUCCUCAUAUUAUUCUCCCUCACCUUAUUCUUUUUGGCCUCAGAUACCCUGGGGCAUGUGAGUGAAAAAUAUUUUUCAGCUGUUUCUUCCCACAGUGGAGACUUCAUUUUUGUAGUAAGAUUGACAAGUCUGUGGAGCACCUGCUCUCUCUGUCUCACACUUUCUCUUUUUUUAACUGCAAUUAAUAAAGUUUCUGGAGAUAUACUGUGAUGUACUGACUUACAGGUAGGAAAUGUUAGGUUCCUUUUACAAAGGGGGAACAAUGUGUUUUUAACCACAGGAUAGAUUCUGUGAAAGUUCCUGAGACAGUGUUGCUGUGGAACUAAAACUUUUUUUUCAGGGAUUCUUGAGAAGAGGCAAUUAGCAUUUUUCUUCUUUGAAUUAUUAGCAAUAUGAUAUGAACGCUAUCUUUUCCCAAUGUGAUUUGUUGGUACAGAUAUGGAGGCAUAGAUUUGGUUGCUUAUCCUGACUCAGCCUCUCAUUAGUUGUAUGACCUUGCAUUACCUUCUCUGGGCCCAGCUUUUCCAUUUGUAAACAGAGAAGGGCAAACUAAAAUCAGGAAUGGCGAGCUUAACCAGGUACAAAAGGUGGCAAGUCAUAGUGUACAAUCCCUUUGUCCACUGCCCUCCGCACAUGUUGGUGUUUGAGCCGGGUCCUCGCCUUGGGAGUCCAGACUGGGUCUUGUGCUCCUUCAACACACAGAACUGUGGGCAGCCAUUGUCAGCCCAUCUGCGUUAGUAUGUUGACAAAAGUACCUGUUAUCCCUAGUCUAGAUGCUCCCUAAUGCUUUUGCCCCAAUCGAAUGUCCUGAAAUUUUACUUUCCCUAAGCUAAUUAUAAGAAGCUGACCAUACUGUACAGCGAUGUGGUUUCCAUGUAAAAUUCAGUGUAUUGACGAAGGUCUUUUAGCUCUUUGUAAUUUCAAUCCUGAUUGUCAGUUUGACGGUUUGGCUAAGCCUUUCAUGCAAAGUUGUCUGAUUUAUCCCGACUUUAGGGUCUUUCUCUGUAUCUUAGUUCAUGCUGACUGAUUGUGAAAUCUACCCAGGGCCGUUCUAGUUCCAUUAUUUUACCUGAGAACGAAAUGGUGAUGGGAAUGUCAGGUUUGGGAAGAAGUCCAGGUUGGCUUUAAACUCAUCUAACUGACUUUUGUUUUCUGUGUUAUUCUUGUAUCUCCCUAUAUCAAAAGAAAGGGAUGUCACUGGGUUUUCUAAGAUUGUGAAUAAUGGUCCUAAAAACAUUUUUCUAUCCCUUCCAGGUAAAAGAAAAAAAAGGUCUAUUUUCAAAGGUUGGCUAUUUGAUAUACAUCCAGAGUAAUCUAUAUUUACCAUUCAUCUUUGGAAUUCAGAUGCAGUAUCUAAAUUUGGAAAAAUCCACACGCUGUUGGAAAACAUUUUGUUCCAGAGUUCACCUGUUUAAUUCCUAGGAUAGGGGACAACCAGUUCCGUUCAAGUUAAAGCUUUGAAGAUUCUUGUUGAAGGUCUCUGACACACCAAAUACUUGUCACUGAUACUUGUUCAUCAAGAGCUGACCAAGUGAAAUUCUCAGUGCUUUGUAUUGUGAGAACUUCAUUUGGUCACAGCAUUCAUGGUGAUGGCUGAGUGUAAUGGCUUCUUUCUUGUAUUUGCAGUUCUUAAGGAGUCUGUGGGACAGGGGCUGUGACCCAGGGUUUAGUGUGGCCACAAGGUGGAGGUAGUGGUCUGGCAUCAGAGAGAGGACAGUUUGGUCUUCUAGUCUAUGGGAGAGAGAGAACGAGUUGUUGUACUGUCUAAAGGCUCCAGCGACUUUCAUAAUGGAAACCCUUUAAAAUGAUUCCAAGGCAUACAUUCUUGCCAGGUUAAUGACUUAAUACACAUUUAGGGUUAUUUCAGACCUCAACAAUUAAGAAAUGGAUUUCCACAAUGGAAUAUAUGCAUUGUAAAGCCCUAUCCUGAAAAUAAGCCUCAGAUCUGGGAUGUAAAGUUUCUAUUUAACAUCUUUAAGUGUUUACUUAUUUUUGAGAGAGAGUGCGCACAUGCGUGCACACGAGUGGGAAGGGGCAGGGAGAGAGGGAGACACAGAAUCAGAAGCAGGCUCCAGGCUCUGAGCUGUCAGCACAGAGCCCCACACGGGGUUCAAACCCACAAAGGAUGAGAUCAUGACCUGAGCCAUAGUCGGACACUUAACCGACGGAGCCACCCAGGGGCCCCUCAAGGUCCUGUUUUAAUUAAGAUGAGAAACUGCCCCCACCCCGACCCCUGCUUUGUUUUAGUAUGUCCAAGAUGAUUAAAUGUUGGGGAUCUUUUGCUGUAUUUUGUUUAGCUACAAAUAAUUUUAGUCAAUGCUUAGGGGGGAACAGUUUUUUCCCCUCCAGUAGAAAUAAAUCUCUGUUUCUAUGAAUGUGAUCUGAUCCUCUCUUAGGAUUAUCAUCCAUAUGAUAUACUAUAUGUCACAGUCUCUGUUAUAGAAUAUAUUCUGUAUCAUAGGUUAUCAGAAGAGCAAAGGCAUGUACUAUAUUAUGUAUUAUAUAGAUUUAUAUGUAGUGCAUGGCUUUGCUCUUCUGACAAUAAACAUAGUUUUUAAACUGUAAGCUAUUUGAAGGCAAUUAUCCCAUGUGUCUUAUGGUAUACCACUGCUUUGCUGGAAGAGUUUAAGUGUAGAUUUGGCCAGGUAACUGUCAUUUGUGUUUUGGAAGGAGGACAGUAUAGUGUUCAGGGCCUGGAUACUGGAUUCAAGAGGAACUGGAUGUGAACCUGGUUCUUCUGCUUCAUAUCUUAGUUCACUUUUCGGGGGUGGGUAGUAGUGGUGGUAGUGGCUUUAUUGAGGUAUAAUUCACAUACCAUAAAAAUCAUCCAUUUAAAAUGUACAACUCAUUGGCUUUUAGUAUAUUCAGAGUUGUGUAGCCAAAACCACAAACAAUUUUAGAGCAUUUUCAUUACCUCAAAAAGAAACCCUGUACCCUUCAGCUGUCACUCUGAAUUUCCCAUUCCCUUUAAGCAGCCACUACUCUGUAUUUGCUCAUGCUGGAUACUUAAUAAAAAUGAAAUCAUAUGUAGUAUGUCAUCUUUUGUGAGUGGCUUCUUUCAUUUAAUAAAAGGCUUGUAUCCAUGUUA
Molecule: long non-coding RNA, 3114 nt
Organism: Neofelis nebulosa (Clouded leopard)
Lineage: Eukaryota; Metazoa; Chordata; Mammalia; Carnivora; Felidae
Exons: 2
Source: RefSeq, a predicted model, not a curated record